This is a long non-coding RNA of Populus euphratica (Euphrates poplar), 3825 nucleotides long. RefSeq lists it as uncharacterized. The record is from RefSeq and is a predicted model, not a curated record. The transcript is spliced from 2 exons. NCBI's taxonomy places the organism in Eukaryota, Viridiplantae, Streptophyta, Magnoliopsida, Malpighiales, Salicaceae.
CCGUGCUUUUAAAGUUCCACGCAACUGUUCUAGUUCACUAAAAAUAUCAUAUGUCGUUUGCCGACUGCGGGAAGAGUAUCCAGGGAGAAAUUCCCGUUAGCAGCGUUGGUCCAUCUCUCUUAAUUUUUCCUUGCAUGAAGACAAUAUAUAUUGAAUCUCCGAGGAAAGUGGAGAUCAAUAGGAUAGAAUACACGCCAUUGACGCCAGCAAUGGUCCUGGACUCUAAAAUAAGUCGAGCAGCAUCCUCCAAUGAGAUGGCCAUAUACUAAAGUAUGAAACGGUCCAGCGGUUUUCGAAACACAUUUUUGGACAUUCCAAAGAGGUACCUUGCAUUCUGGACUGAUUCCCGGUGGCAAGAGGCCUGGUAGGUUUAUACCUGCGAAUGGUGCUGGUCCUUUAAGAAAGGGUACGAGAUUAGGUGCAUGAGGGGAACCGACUGGGCUGGAACAAGCCAACACAAUGCCCGAUGCUGCUAUUAGCAACAAGGAUGAUACAAAUAGAGCCCUGCUUCCCUUCAUUAUUACCAAAUUUAACUUGCCCCUUUCCUUCUAUGUAUUGCAGCUGGAAUCAAUGCUUGCUGCAGGUUGGUGACAGACUGACAGCAAAAGAGGGCGUGGACCAUUUAUAUGGAAAAGCAAUGACUGUGGACCAAAACCAAGGUAGAGAUUUUAGGAAACUGUCGCUAAUCUUCGGUCAAAAAAUUAAUUAAAGAUGGAGUUAAUUACAUUCACAGUUGCAUUACAGUUCCUUUUUAUGAACCUCUUAGAAUUAAUGGUGCUAUCCGUUAUGAACAUCACAAGCUCACCUGCUAUUUUCAAGUCUAGCAGUUUUCUUUCUCGGUGGACAAUUUUUUCCCCUGGUAAUCAAUGAUAUUAAUGGAAUCCAUAGUGCUUUCAUAAACGAUCCAGAUGGAUUUGAUGGGUUAAGGAGAUAGAAUAUUAGGAAUAUUCAUCUGCCUCCCAUGUUCAGAACAAAGCUACAUUUUCCAAAGGUUUACCUCCAAUAUAUUCACAGAGGAAUGGAGAAGUCCAGAAAUCUGAUAAUUCUAAAUUUCUGCCAUCUAAUUAGUGAUAAGUUGCACUUUUUAAGAAGGCUUCUUCACCUUUUCCUCUCCAGUAGUUUUUUUUAACCAUCAACAGGUACGGGUCUUGUUCCCUUUGAGAAUUGCUAUAUAAAUUUACUUAUGUGUUGUAUAAACUUGCGUUAAGUUUAUACAGCAAGCCUGGAAUAGGCAAGAGCAGAGGUAGUCCGGAAUAGGCCAACAAUGCUGCCGAGUACAGUAAUACACGUAGUUGAUAGAAAAAGCUUUGUUUGCGGCCAUGACAACAAGUUGGAUCGAGUUGCCAGAUCUUUUGCUCUCUUAACAUUUCAAUAGAAAAGGCAACGGGCUAGGCUGGCCGAAGCAUUUUAGUCCACCGUGAUAACUUGGGAGUUACAACGAGGGUAACUCCUUUCCUAUUGAGAAUCCUUUACUGUUUAUUCACUGUGCACCAACACUCUAAUUACUGUGGAAUUCAACAGUGCUUCAGCCUUUAUCUCUUUCACACGGGUUCCUGCCUAAUUUUGUCUGUCACGUUCUUAUUUUUCUGGCUUUGUCUUGCUGCGUGGCACGCCUCAGGGGUUUGUUGUGCCAUGAUCAGAGAUCGGUUGGCUCUGGCUUUCUCUCCCAGUGUGGCGCGCCUCAGGGGUUUUUGUUCCAUGAUCAAAGGCUUGAUUUGGGUUGUUUGCGCGCAUGGGUUGUUUGUUGAGCUGUUUGUUUAUGGUGUUUCCAGCGGCUGGGUCGCUUGAACUUCUACGCAAGUCAAUGAUGGGUUUUGGUGCCAGUGAUGCUUGUGGCUUGGUCGUGGCUGAUUUUCAAAGAAGCGGACCCAUAAGCAUGAUUGUGCAUUAAAUAUUAUGUUCACCUGGCAGGGUUUUGUCUACAGGACAGCAUUGGAGAAGCUGCUGGUUUCUGGGUUGGAUUAGACCUUUGUUUUGUCUGGACAAAAAUUCUUGGGGUUUUAAGUGUUUUGUUGUUUUUAUUAUGCUUUUUUUGGCUUUUUUACUGGGACCAGAUCUGUCUUUCACGCUGUUCUAGUUUCGUUCCUUAAAUUUUUCGUUGGGUCUCAUGUCAUUUCCGGUCCUGUUUGAUUGUUUUUUUAUUUGGCUGCCAAGCUUUUUCCUUGGGAUUCCUGCUCCUUCAUAUCUUUUCUUAGGGAGUUUGUUCUCUUUGCUUGCUUCUCUUCUUUGUUUUUUUGGGUGGGUUUUCUUCUCUGAGAUCUGGUGGUUUGAUUUUUUUUCGCUUUUAUGAUAGUCAUUGUUCUUGAUGAGCUUUUUUUUUUUUUUUUCCAUCAUAAUCUCCACUAUUUCGGCAUUUUUGGUUCAGUUAUUGUGUCCUUUCUUGAUGUUUUUGAGCGUCGUUUCACUGUUUCAGGUUUCUUUCAUUGAACGUGCAGGCUGAAGUUGUGUGCGUCGUUCCACGAAGGAGCUGGUUAGCUAUCUGUUGGCUGGAACUGAAGCUUUUCUCUAUAGGUGCUCUGUCACAGUUCUUGCUUGGUGCUCCUCAUUGUCCCUGUUUUUCCUCUCAUUGUUGUUUCAUUUUAAUCUUUUGUUUGUUCUUUCUACUGUUUUUUGCCGGCUGCUCCUUAAGUCAUUUUAUUUCACCAUUAAUGCACCAGAUAAUCCACGAACCCACCCCUCCAAAAUCAACCUGAGAAUUCAGACUUUUAACUAAAAUUCAUUUCAAGAUCUGGGCUUUAUGCAGUUUGGAUUCUAGAAUCAACUUCUCCUCUCACAAGACAAUUAGUUAACAGGAAACAAUUAGCAUUACGGUGCAAGCGGGAUCGCUCACAACCGAGAUCAUUCUAUCACUAACUUAUGCUUCCAUUGAAAGCAACACUCCAGCUGAGCCACCUGCUAAAAAAAGCUCGCCUUGCAGUUUCAUCUCCUUCAAAGGUUUCACCCUUUUAACACAUUCCUCAGUCCUCACCCUUUUUUCCUCUACAUUUGUCAUUCAUAUUUUUUUUUUGAUCUAUUUUGUAUCCAAUGCAUACUUCUUUGUGAUUCAACAAUGGGCAACCUAGCCAUUAUUGGCUCUCUUCACUAUCAUUUUCUGCCGCACCAUCAUUUAUAAUCCAAUUAGAUUUUAUUGCUGUAUUUCUACUCUUUGUUUUUCAUUUUUGUAAUGUUUUCACAACAAUUCAUGAUGUCAGCUAACACCUCAAAUAAACACACGUUGUUAUUUCCAUUUUCAUUCAUUAUAUUGACAUAAACACGACUCUGGUUCAGAAGGGCAGUGACAUGAUGUGUGCUUCAUUGCAUGAUAUUUCUCAAGCAAAUUUUGUUCUUACCUGUUAACACAAAUAUUUACAAACAUGCACCCCCCUUAAUAUAUCCAAAGUCCAGACAUGCUUCGUGUUCCACUGAUCACUGUCAUUUCUUUGAUGCUCGUAUUGGUGUUCCUUCCGUCCACGAUGUUUUUUAGUAAUUAUUUAGUCACUCUCUUUUUGUCUUCCAUUACUAUCUCACUUUAACUUUUCCACACUCGAUGCUGGGAGACUAACAUGCAACCAAUGUGAUAAGAAUUCUGCAAGCCCAAAGAAGAAAGUUCCUUGCUUUGUUGUCGAGGCUUGCAAACCUGUUUGCUCACGUCCACUUCAUCUAUUUUGUUAAUUGUUAUUAAAAUAUUAUGAUAUGCAUGUUGAAGGGCUAUUACUUUUGUUUGAAUAUGAAGGGCUUUGCCAUGCUCUGAAAUCUCCUGUGCUCAAUGUUUUGAAUCAACUUUUUCAUACGUUUAAGAUUAUUUUCAGCGACUUAAUUGACAUCUAAGUAGAUGCUUUUCUUUUU